This is a long non-coding RNA of Spea bombifrons (plains spadefoot toad), 512 nucleotides long. RefSeq lists it as uncharacterized. The record is from RefSeq and is a predicted model, not a curated record. NCBI's taxonomy places the organism in Eukaryota, Metazoa, Chordata, Amphibia, Anura, Pelobatidae. The transcript has 2 exons.
AAGCAGUUUUGUAUAAAAUCCUGCUAUCUGGACCCUAAAUCCACAACCUCACCUUGUCUACCAACAUUUAAUUUAUUCAUAGACAUGUACAGCCGGCUGAACAAAAGGUAUCUCAACUGAUUCAAUGCAUCUAUGUGCUUAAUGCUAUUAUGCCACCUGGUGGCUACAGUAAGUAUUACAUCUAGUUAUAAACUUCAGGUUUCUUCUGCUUUUGUAGUUUCACCCCUGGGGGUGCUUGGUACUGCAAAUCAGCAUAAUUAAUAUUUGUUUUAUAUAGCCCCAUCACUUUCUGCAGCGCUGUACAAAGGGUAGACAGGACAUAAGAUAACAUACAGAAACAGGCAAGGAGGAUUUCCCUAAAAUAAACCAAAUAUCCCAAAUCUGCAAAAUUAAUGAAAAAGAGUAAUUGAACAGAAAAGAGUAUAACAUAUAGCCAAAACAUUGUUUUAUUUCCAUUGGAAAACACACAGUAUCCAUAUAUUAAAAGCAAAAGGUGAAGGAAAAAAAAAAAA